This 218-nucleotide unclassified non-coding RNA is filed under the name plant metagenome. RNAcentral describes it as "partial contains small subunit ribosomal RNA, internal transcribed spacer 1, and 5.8S ribosomal RNA". The record is from RNAcentral.
UCUCCGUUGGUGAACCAGCGGAGGGAUCAUUACAGAGUUGCAACACUCCCAAACCACUGUGAACACACCCGUACCGUUGCCUCGGCGGGCGGCCCCAGGGCGGGCUGCAGCCUCCUAGCGGAGGCGCCCGCCGCAGGUCACACAACUAUACUCUUCAUUGGCCCCUCUGAGUACACUCCAAACAAUCAAAACUUUCAACAACGGAUCUCUUGGUUCUG